This 951-nucleotide ribosomal RNA is filed under the name Deltaproteobacteria bacterium. Its description in RNAcentral is "bacterial SSU rRNA". It matches the Rfam family "Bacterial small subunit ribosomal RNA", at positions 1 to 916 of the family's 1533-position model. The record is from RNAcentral. Lineage: Bacteria; Pseudomonadati; Myxococcota; Myxococcia.
UUAACGGAGAGUUUGAUCCUGGCUCAGAAUAAACGCUGGCGGCGUGCCUAACACAUGCAAGUCGAACGGACAGAGAUCUUUCGGGGUCAAUGUUAGUGGCGCACGGGUGAGUAACGCGUGGGUAACCAACCCUUAAGACUGGAAUAACUCUCCGAAAGGGGUGCUAAUACCGGAUAAGACCACGAUAACUUCGGUUAACGCGGUAAAAGGUGGCGAGUCUCCUUAAAAAAGACGCUAUCACUUAAGGACGGGCCCGCGUGACAUUAGAUUGAUGGCAGGGUAAUGGCCUACCAUAUUGUCUUCGAUGUCUAGCUGGUCUGAGAGGAUGAUCAGCCACACUGGAACUGGAACACGGUCCAGACUCCUACGGGAGGCAGCAGUGAGGAAUUUUUCGCAAUGGGGGAAACCCUGACGAAGCAACGCCGCGUGAGUGAAGAAGGCCUAUUGGUUGUAAAGCUCUGUCAAUGGGAAGGAAAGGCGCUAGCAGUAAUAUAGCUGGCGUUUGACGUUUACUUUGGAGGAAGCCCCGGCUAACUCCGUGCCAGCAGCCGCGGUAACACGGAGGGGGCAAGCGUUAUUCGGAAUCAUUGGGUGUAAAGCGCAUGUAGGCGGUUUAGUAUGUCAAAUGUGAAAGCUCGGGGCUUAACUCCGAAAGUGCAUUUGAAACUGCUUUACUUGAGGCUCGGAGAGGAAAGUGGAAUUCCCAGUGUAGAGGUGGAAUGUGUAGAUAUUGGGAGGAACACCGGUGGCGAAAGCGACUUUCUGGACGAGAACUGACGCUAAGAUGCGAAAGCAUGGGUAGCAAACAGGAUUAGAUACCCUGGUAGUCCAUGCUGUAAACGAUGGGUACUAGAUGUCGGGGGUAUUGACCCCUUCGGUGUCGUAGCUAACGCGUUAAGUACCCCACCUGGGGACUACGGCCGCAAGGCUAAAACUCAAAGGAAUUGACGG